RNAcentral lists this ribosomal RNA (583 nucleotides) under Dendropsophus mapinguari. Its description in RNAcentral is "partial 16S ribosomal RNA". It matches the Rfam family "Bacterial large subunit ribosomal RNA", at positions 1801 to 2597 of the family's 2925-position model. Lineage: Eukaryota; Metazoa; Chordata; Amphibia; Anura; Hylidae. The record is from RNAcentral.
UGUUUAACAAAAACAUCACCUCUUGUACCCUAUCAGAGGCCCAGCCUGCCCAGUGACCCAGUUCAACGGCCGCGGUAUCCUAACCGUGCGAAGGUAGCGUAAUCACUUGUUCUUUAAAUAAGGACUAGUAUGAAUGGCACCACGAGGGUUCUCCUGUCUCCUUUUUCUAAUCAAUGAAACUGAUCUUCCCGUGAAGAAGCGGGAAUCUAAAUAUAAGACGAGAAGACCCUAUGGAGCUUCAAACUAAAUAGUAUUGGCUUUUUCCCCUUAUGUGCCCCCGGGUGUUAAUACUUAUUCUAGCCUUUUAACUAUGAGUUUUGGGUUGGGGUGACCACGGAGCAAAAAUUAACCUCCAUGAUGAACAGAUUUACUCUUGAGCCAAAAGUCACGACUUUAAGCACCAAUAAUUUGACAUAAGUUGACCCAAUAUUUUGAACAACGAACCAAGUUACCCUAGGGAUAACAGCGCAAUCCACUUCAAGAGCUCUUAUCGACAAGUGGGUUUACGACCUCGAUGUUGGAUCAGGGUGNCCUAGUGGUGCAGCCGCUACUAAAGGUUCGUUUGUUCAACGAUUAAUACCCU